GACAGAGGGGGCCAGCGUUGUCCGGAGUUACUGGGCGUAAAGCGCACGCAGGCGGCGCCUUAAGCGUCGUGUGAAAGCUCCCGGCUCAACCGGGAGACGCCAUGGCAAACUGGGGCGCUGGAGCGCCGGAGAGGCCCCUCGAAUUGCCGGUGUAGUGGUGAAAUGCGUAGAGAUCGGCAGGAAGACCAAGGGGGAAGCCAGGGGGCUGGCCGGCUGCUGACGCUGAGGUGCGACGGCGUGGGGAGCAAACCGG
RNAcentral lists this ribosomal RNA (253 nucleotides) under uncultured bacterium. RNAcentral describes it as "partial 16S ribosomal RNA". It matches the Rfam family "Bacterial small subunit ribosomal RNA", at positions 524 to 776 of the family's 1533-position model. The record is from RNAcentral.